GCAGGAAUGGCAGAACAGGCAGACGCAUCAGAUUUAGGAUCUGAAUUUUGAGCAUUCAAUUCUCUCUUCCUGUACAA
RNAcentral lists this transfer RNA (77 nucleotides) under Flavobacterium sediminis. RNAcentral's name for it is "tRNA-Leu". It matches the Rfam family "tRNA". Rfam says of the family: Transfer RNA (tRNA) molecules are approximately 80 nucleotides in length. Their secondary structure includes four short double-helical elements and three loops (D, anti-codon, and T loops). Lineage: Bacteria; Pseudomonadati; Bacteroidota; Flavobacteriia; Flavobacteriales; Flavobacteriaceae. The record is from RNAcentral.